Molecule: ribosomal RNA, 301 nt
Filed under: uncultured bacterium
Lineage: Bacteria
Description: partial 16S ribosomal RNA
Rfam family: Bacterial small subunit ribosomal RNA
Source: RNAcentral
CAGUCGCCGCGGGAAUACGGAGGGGGCUAGCGUUGUUCGGAAUUACUGGGCGUAAAGCGCACGUAGGCGGCUUGGUAAGUUAGAGGUGAAAGCCUGGAGCUCAACUCCAGAAUUGCCUUUAAGACUGCCGAGCUAGCAGGUGAGAGAGGUAAGUGGAAUUCCGAGUGUAGAGGUGAAAUUCGUAGAUAUUCGCAAGAACACCGGUGGCGAAGGCGGCUCACUGGUCCGGAACUGACGCUGAGGCACGACAGCGUGGGGAGCAAACAGGAUUAGAUACCCCCGUAGUCCCUGUCUCUUAUAC